GACGGGGGGGGCAAGUGUUCUUCGGAAUGACUGGGCGUAAAGGGCACGUAGGCGGUGAAUCGGGUUGAAAGUGAAAGUCGCCAAAAAGUGGCGGAAUGCUCUCGAAACCAAUUCACUUGAGUGAGACAGAGGAGAGUGGAAUUCCGAGUGUAGAGGUGAAAUUCGUAGAUAUUCGGAAGAACACGAGUGGCGAAGGCGACUUACUGGACACAUAUUGACGCUGAGGUGCGAAAGCGUGGGGAGCAAACAGG
Molecule: ribosomal RNA, 251 nt
Filed under: uncultured bacterium
Lineage: Bacteria
Description: partial 16S ribosomal RNA
Rfam family: Bacterial small subunit ribosomal RNA
Source: RNAcentral